Non-coding RNA from Heterocephalus glaber (naked mole-rat), 1477 nucleotides. NCBI's taxonomy places the organism in Eukaryota, Metazoa, Chordata, Mammalia, Rodentia, Bathyergidae. The record is from RefSeq and is a predicted model, not a curated record.
GGUGCAGGGCCCGCGGCUCCACCAGGAUAUAAAAGCCCCCGCGCGCCCUCUGACUCCUGGAUUUGUGGGGGCAGCUGGAGACUUCUCCUUCUGCAGCCAGCCCUUCUGAGGCACCCUCACCUGACGGCGCAACCAUGACCCCGAGUCUUAAACACCAAGAAGUGACUACAGGAAAAGAAGCAAAACAAACAGAUAAUGGAAGAUCAUUUCAAGAGGCCUGGACAGAGUCAUUUGGAGUGACUGAAUGCAGUGGGAAAGGAUUAUGUAUUCUAUGUAGUAAAAGUGUUGUAUGUCCCACUUCAAGGAUCAGAUGACACGUUUUUGGGUUUUUUUGUUUUAUUUUGUUUGGGGUUUUUUGGUACCAGGGAUCGAACUUGGGACCUUGCACUUGGGAGACAGGUGCUGGAACCACUGAGCUAAAUCCCUGGCCAUUCAAGGAUCAGAUGACACUUUGACACAAACCACAAGAGUGUUGUUGAACUUCAUGAAACUGAGUUUCUUGAAGGGAAAUUGAGGAAAUAUCAUUCCCAGUAUCUUAGUUUUUGCAACUCUCUUUCUAAAACAAAUCAUCUGACAGCUGACAGCUUUCAAAUUUCAUUGUGCAUAACAAAACAUGUUUCAAGCACUUCUUACUGACGUUCAGGCACUGAUGUCCAGUGCCUGAGCCAAGGACAAGUCCUGGAGAGAUCUGUAGCCUGCUUGGAUGAAACUGGACUCUUUAUGAAUGAAAAAAGGUAGGAACAUCCAUAGCCCACUGAUUGGCCUGGCUUAACAACCCUGUUUUGUUGUUGUUGUUGUUGUUGUUUGGGGGUUUUUUGUACAAAUUUUUACACUACACUUCAAUGUACUGAAUAAAACAAAAAACUACUGUACAAGAGGUAGGGAAAACAGCAGAAAGGAUAUUUUGUGAUAUAAAAAAAUUUGAGAGAAAACUGCAGGUGUUUGAAAGAAACCUUGAAAGUGAGCAGCUGAAAUAUUUUCCAAAUCUAAAACUGCAUUUAGAUAAUUCUACAUUUGCAGACAAGCCAUCAGGAAAUGUACCAAGACUUUUAUAGCAUUGUAGCAGCUGCAAAAGGAAUUUUAGUAACAGAUUUUUACAAUUCUGUAAGAUGGAGAAACUUGUUUUCUCUUACUUCUCCGGAUAAAGUCAAAUUUUGAAGAACUUGAUCUUUCCUGCUUACACUGGUUAGAUUUUGGAAAUCUGGAAAUAGAGCUAUCGAAAUGUCAAGAAAGCUCUAUCUGGAAAAAUUCUGUUACCUGCAUGUCACACUUGAGAAGAAAGAGUGAAGGGAUGACAAAGGACCAUACAGUUGGUAGUUCUGAAAAUGAAAUCCUUAAAAUGUGGAAUUCUCUGCCAAAUAAUUUUAAGUCAAUGAAAUCACUUGCUGUUGAGUACAACAGCAAAGAUCACAUUAAUUGUGCAAAAGCACGACAAAUGCAAACUUUUACCUCUAAGUAAAAAGCUGUAUCAUUGAAA